GACGAACGCUGGAGGUGUGCUUAACACAUGCAAGUCGAACGAUGAAAUGGAGCUUGCUCCAUGGAUUAGUGGCGAACGGGUGAGUAACACGUGAAUAACCUGCCCUUAAUUUUGGAAUAACCCAGGGAAACCUGGGCUAAUACCGGAUAAGUAAACCUGUGGCAUCACAUGGUUUUGGGAAGUUUUUCGAUUAAGGAUGGAUUCGCGGCCUAUCAGCUUGUUGGUGAGGUAAUGGCUCACCAAGGCGACGACGGGUAGCCGGCCUGAGAGGGUGAACGGCCACACUGGGACUGAGACACGGCCCAGACUCCUACGGGAGGCAGCAGUGGGGAAUAUUGCGCAAUGGACGAAAGUCUGACGCAGCGACGCCUCGUGAGGGACGAAGGUCUUCGGAUUGUAAACCUCUUUCAGCAGGGACGAAGCGAAAGUGACGGUACCUGCAGAAGAAGCACCGGCUAACUAUGUGCCAGCAGCCGCCGUAA
This 482-nucleotide ribosomal RNA is filed under the name uncultured bacterium. Its description in RNAcentral is "partial 16S ribosomal RNA". It matches the Rfam family "Bacterial small subunit ribosomal RNA", at positions 28 to 523 of the family's 1533-position model. The record is from RNAcentral.